Molecule: non-coding RNA, 120 nt
Organism: Arachis ipaensis
Lineage: Eukaryota; Viridiplantae; Streptophyta; Magnoliopsida; Fabales; Fabaceae
Source: RefSeq, a predicted model, not a curated record
UUGAAUAAAUAAUAAUAAGAAUAGAAUCUAAGCCAAGCUAAGCCGUGUAAUCAAUUACUCCAACCACAUUUUCAAAGUCUUUUCUUUUGCCUAUACUAAAACCAAUUUCAACCCCAUGUU